AGAGCGAACGCUGGCGGCAGGCCUAACACAUGCAAGUCGAGCGCCCGUAGCAAUACGGGAGCGGCAGACGGGAUAGUAACACGUGGGAACGCGCCCUUCGGUUCGGAAUAACUCAGGGAAACUGGAGCUGAUACCGUAUGUGCCCGAAAGGGGAAAGAUUUAUCGCCUUUGGAUCGGCCCGCGUCUGAUUAGCUAGUUGGUAGGGUAACGGCCUACCAAGGCGACGAUCAGUAGCUGGUCUGAGAGGAUGACCAGCCACACUGGGACUGAGACACGGCCCAGACUCCUACGGGAGGCAGCAGUGGGGAAUAUUGGACAAUGGGCGCAAGCCUGAUCCAGCCAUGCCGCGUGAGUGAUGAAGGCCUUAGGGUUGUAAAGCUCUUUCGCCAGGGACGAUAAUGACGGUACCUGGAUAAGAAGCCCGGCUAACUUCGUGCCAGCAGCCGC
RNAcentral lists this ribosomal RNA (447 nucleotides) under uncultured bacterium. RNAcentral's name for it is "SSU rRNA". It matches the Rfam family "Bacterial small subunit ribosomal RNA", at positions 26 to 518 of the family's 1533-position model. The record is from RNAcentral.